Molecule: ribosomal RNA, 45 nt
Filed under: Hormococcus conorum
Lineage: Eukaryota; Fungi; Ascomycota
Also listed under: 1 other name
Description: partial 28S ribosomal RNA
Source: RNAcentral
UUGACCUCGGAUCAGGUAGGGAUACCCGCUGAACUUAAGCAUACA